RNAcentral lists this ribosomal RNA (240 nucleotides) under uncultured bacterium. RNAcentral's name for it is "partial 16S ribosomal RNA". It matches the Rfam family "Bacterial small subunit ribosomal RNA", at positions 95 to 334 of the family's 1533-position model. The record is from RNAcentral.
CCGGCGAACGGGUGCGUAACACGUGAACAACCUGCCCCUCGUGUGGGGGAUAGCCAUGCUAACGCGUGGGUAAUACCGCAUACGUUCCCUUGGAGGAGUCUCUGGGGGAGGAAAGCUCCGGCGCACGGGGAGGGGUUCGCGGCCUAUCAGCUAGUUGGCGGGGUAAUGGCCCACCAAGGCGACGACGGGUAGCUGGUCUGAGAGGAUGGCCAGCCACAUUGGGACUGAGAGACGGCCCAG